AUUCACUCUCCGGCCCUUCCAGGCCCCACCUGGGGCCUGGGGCCUGUGCUACAGCAGAAGCGGCCGGGGGGCCUCUGUGAGGCGCAGGUGUUCACCAGAUACCUCACGGUUCCGCAGGGCCAGAUCCUGAAUCCCAGACUUUGGGCCUGCCUGGGGCUCCCCUGAGAGGAAACCCUGAAGCCUGAGGAGCUCCAUACCUGUGUUUUAAAAAUCGCAACUCCAGGCCACCGCCUCCUGAAAGCCUUUCUGGAUUAUGCCAGACUGCACCCGUCUACACAGUCCGGAGUGCAGCUGGAUUGGGGGAAAGACAUCUGAAUUUCCAGGCUUCGACUCUUCCCUAGGUCCCUGAAUUAUCAAAGAAUUCCGCGGGAUGGUUCUGUGGUUUUCAUAGCAGAUUAUCUGGGUCCUUGUUUACUUUUGGGCUCUUCC
Molecule: long non-coding RNA, 429 nt
Organism: Prionailurus viverrinus (fishing cat)
Lineage: Eukaryota; Metazoa; Chordata; Mammalia; Carnivora; Felidae
Exons: 3
Source: RefSeq, a predicted model, not a curated record